Non-coding RNA from Oryza glaberrima (African rice), 188 nucleotides. The record is from Rfam. Lineage: Eukaryota; Viridiplantae; Streptophyta; Magnoliopsida; Poales; Poaceae.
AAUAAGUACAGUUUUGCACUAUUCACAGUCAACGUUUCACCGUUCAUCUUAUUUGAAAUUUUUUUUAUUAGUAUUUUCAUUGCUAUUAGAUGAUAAAUAGUACUUUAUGUAUGACUAAAUAUUUUCAAUUUUUUCAAAUAAGACGGAUGGUCAAACGUUGGGUACGGAUAUCCAUGGCUGCACUUAUU